RNAcentral lists this ribosomal RNA (282 nucleotides) under uncultured bacterium. RNAcentral's name for it is "partial 16S ribosomal RNA". It matches the Rfam family "Bacterial small subunit ribosomal RNA", at positions 28 to 301 of the family's 1533-position model. The record is from RNAcentral.
GAUGAACGCUGGCGGCGUGCUUAAGACAUGCAAGUCGAACGCAACCUGGGUAGCAAUACUCGGGUUGAGUGGCGAAUGGGUGCGUAACACGUAGGUGACCUGCCCUGAAGCGGGGAAUAACAGUUCGAAAGGACUGCUAAUACCGCAUGUGGUCCCGGGGUUUAGAAGCCGGGGACGAAAGGUCGGCGCAAGUCGAUCACUUCAGGAGGGGCCUGCGGCCCAUCAGCUCGUUGGUAGGGAACGGCCUACCAAGGCAACGACGGGUAGGGGACCUGAGAGGGU